Molecule: ribosomal RNA, 863 nt
Filed under: Paracamallanus sp. AM-2008
Lineage: Eukaryota; Metazoa; Nematoda; Chromadorea; Rhabditida; Camallanidae
Description: SSU rRNA
Rfam family: Eukaryotic small subunit ribosomal RNA
Source: RNAcentral
CUUGAUCUUGACAUCCUACGUGGAUAACUGUGGUAAUUCUAGAGCUAAUACAUGCACCAAAGCUCCGAAUUUUUGACGAGCGCAUUUAUUAGAUUAAAACCAAUCGGGUUUCGGCCCGUUUGUUGGUGACUCUGAAUAACUAUAGCUGAUCGCAUGGUCAAGAACCGGCGACGUGUCUAUCAAGUGUCUGCCUUAUCAACUGUCGAUGGUAGUUUAUGUGCCUACCAUGGUUGUAACGGGUAACGGAGAAUAAGGGUUCGACUCCGGAGAGGGAGCCUGAGAAACGGCUACCACAUCCAAGGAAGGCAGCAGGCGCGCAAAUUACCCACUCUCGGCAUGAGGAGGUAGUGACGAAAAAUAACGAGACCGUUCUCUAUGAGGCCGGUUAUCGGAAUGGGUACAAUUUAAACCCGUUAACGAGGAUCUAUGAGAGGGCAAGUCUGGUGCCAGCAGCCGCGGUAAUUCCAGCUCUCAAAGUGUAUAUCGUCAUUGCUGCGGUUAAAAAGCUCGUAGUUGGAUCUGCGCCUCAGGACUUGGUCCGCCCACUGGGUGAGAACUGGGCUCCUGGGCUAGUUCUGCUGGUUUUCCCUGCGUUGCCUUCAUCGGUAGCGUAGGGUGGCUAGCGAGUUUACUUUGAAAAAAUUAGAGUGCUUCACGCGGGCUUAUGUCUGAAUACUCGUGCAUGGAAUAAUAGAAUAGGAUCUCGGCUCUAUUUUGUUGGUUUUCUGAUCUGAGAUAAUGGUUAAGAGGGACGGACGGGGGCAUUCGUAUCGCUGCGUGAGAGGUGAAAUUCUUGGACCGUAGCGAGACGUCCGACUGCGAAAGCAUUUGCCAAGAAUGUCUUCAUUAAUCAAGAACGAAAG